AUUGAACGCUGGCGGCAUGCCUUACACAUGCAAGUCGAACGGUAGCGCGGGUUCCGGUCUGGCCGCGUGUGGCAAGGGGGUGUAAUACGCAUCGAAGCGCGCGCAGGAGGGGGGGAAAGCGCGGCGAGCGUUGGUAUAAUAGCAUACGAGAUCCGGGGGUGAGAGCGGGGGCGCGAAAGGUCUCGCGGUAUUGGCGGGGGCGAUGUCGGAUUAGCUAGUUGGUGGGGUAAAGGCUUACCAAGGCGACGAUCCGUAGCUGGUCUGAGAGGACGACCAGCCACACUGGGACUGAGACACGGCCCAGACUCCUACGGGAGGCAGCAGUGGGGAAUUUUGGACAAUGGGGGCAAGCCUGAUCCAGCCAUGCCGCGUGCAGGAAGAAGGCCUUCGGGUUGUAAACCGCUUUUGUACGGAAAGAAAUGCUCUCUGCUAAUACAGCGGGGUGAUGACGGUACCGGAAGAAUAAGCACCGGCUAACUACGUG
This 484-nucleotide ribosomal RNA is filed under the name uncultured bacterium. Its description in RNAcentral is "partial 16S ribosomal RNA". It matches the Rfam family "Bacterial small subunit ribosomal RNA", at positions 28 to 507 of the family's 1533-position model. The record is from RNAcentral.